Molecule: ribosomal RNA, 229 nt
Filed under: uncultured bacterium
Lineage: Bacteria
Description: partial 16S ribosomal RNA
Rfam family: Bacterial small subunit ribosomal RNA
Source: RNAcentral
GAUCCUGGCUCGGGAUGAACGCUAGCUACAGGCUUAACACAUGCAAGUCGAGGGGCAGCAUGGUCUUAGCUUGCUAAGACUGAUGGCGACCGGCGCACGGGUGAGUAACACGUAUCCAACCUGCCGUCUACUCUUGGACAGCCUUCUGAAAGGAAGAUUAAUACAAGAUGGCAUCAUGAGUCCGCAUGUUUACAUGAUUAAAGGUAUUCCGGUAGACGAUGGGGAUGCG